GAAGAAGGGAGUUUGAGAUGUCCGAUACUAAAAGAGCUGUUUAUAAGAUAUAUGAAUGCAGAACUGUGGGAGAAGAAAGAUGCUUAGAAUUCGGUGAAAGAUCUGAUACAGAAAUGUUAAUGAGAAUGUUAUCUUGUAAGGACACGAGGGUGAACAUCCCCGACCGGAGGCAACGAAGGCAGGGCCAGCAACAGUUGGCUGUCGAAGAUAGCGCACAUCGCAGAUGGAUAUAUCCAUUUCUUGCGGAGCACCCGAUAGAUUGGCUUACCGAACACGCAUGGCCUACAGAAAGAUAUUUGUUUCCGCCCAGCUUGAUAUCAACCGGAACCCAGGAAAAUUGUGCAGCUCUUUGUGCUCGAUAGCUUGCUGCGUUUUCCUCUUUCGAGACACCGUUGACGUCGCUCCCGGCAUAUCCGGCGCAAACGUUCAGAAUUCUCCGAUUUGAACGAGUUAAAUCGACCAAUAUAAAGAGAGUUUUAAUUACGAUACAUCCGCACACUGUACAUCAUCGAUUCUUCUAUUCGAUUUUGAUCUUCUAUCCAUCGAACGCGCGCGUGAAGAUACGAGCAUAACACCCCGUGACACCUCCAGACGCAGAGGGCGACUGAACACUGAACUUGAUUUGCGGAACAGCUCGAGAAGAAGGGAGGAUUCCGAGAGAAAGAGAGGAACACGUGGUGCGAUACUCCGUGAAAGAGGGGACCUUGCUAGCUCUAAACUGUGAUGCGCGAGCGACCGGCAACCGAUCAGUCGCUGGAGGGCUCAAAAAUCCUACUUUUGGCACCUCCGACACGCCAAAAACAUCGCAGUAAUUAUUACUGCCACGGGAACAUCGUUGUCAACAGUCCUGGUACUGCCAGUGUUGCAGUACAAUGGUAAUUUACAUAAAAAUCCGCGGUUCAACGAUGGGUCAGGGUCAUGGGCUACAAUUUAUUCCUACGAAAAGAGAAUUAUAAUAUACUACAGUAUUACAUAAUCUUUAAAAUAAUUUCUAUUCGAAGGGUACGGGAAAAUGCAGUGAACUCUUUGUCGAAGGUGUCCUAAUCUACUAAACAUUAUACGGUUUCUCUGGUAAUCGUGGAAUGUGUUAUCUGAUCUACUAGAGGUCUAGUUGGAAAGAAAGGCGACGCGAUGGAGAAAAAAGAAGGAGGCCGGCCAGAUAAAUUCAACGUUGCUCGAGUUGGAUCGACUGGAAGGAGAAAGACGGGCGGGAGGACCGGGGGAAUGGGAAAGGGUCAGAGGGCAGUGUCCCGAGGCAAGGGGCCGCAGCCAGGGCCACAGAAAAAUUUGCAUUUCCUGUUCGCGACGAAUAAUGCCGGCCGUCGUCGAAUCAGCCCAGUCCGAUCCUCAGAAUUUCCGCCUGAUAUCAUGGCAAACGGUUACACGCGUGCCUGACCCUACGACGAACAAGGAAACACCUUUCCAUUGCUUUUUCAUUCUAAAAGAACACCAAACUCUAUUUGUUAAUAGAUUUAUUCGGUAUUACCAAAAACCUCUCUGAAUUUUUCUCUUCUUUUGUUCGUUACGAAAUUUCGGGUUCAAGAACAUUGAUUAAUUUAUUUUUAUUUUCUCUGUAAAGGGAAAGAUUUUGAUCAUUUUCUGAUAAAGUUCCUCAUUUCUAGGAAGCCACUGUGGUCUCUUUGUGAGCUUUUUCGUGUUUCCGAAUAACUGUGGAGAAUAGUUUCUCGUCAGGGGUUGGAGGGAUUCAAGCGAACGAUGAAGAGGAGGGAGAAGAGAUGUUUAUGGGAACAGCUGUUCUUCGACUGGGGUUGUUGACCAUGCACACCUACUUCUACUCGGAAGCCUUUAUGGGGGCUUUUCUGACCUCCAGGUAUAUUAACACGUGACCGACUUCCAUGGGGGAAGAUCUUUCUGCUUCUCGUUCCGUCCUGGCGUGUUGCACACCAAUAGGCGGCCGGAAUGAAUUUGAAUGCAGUUGAUGUGCAAUGUUUUUUGAACGAUUUUACCGUGAGUGGAGGACUGUUCCAUCGUGUCGACUAAAAAAAAAAAUAGUCUAACGCAAGGGGAAAGAAAGUUUCUAGAGGAAGGCUGAAUGGCGUAACGGUCCGGCGGGAGAAAAACGGAGCACACACUUGUCUCCGGACAAAAAAUCAUGUAGAAACAUCUGGAGCUUUGAAACGAUCCUACGGUGGCCCACGAAAAAAAAACCGUUUGUGUAGCUUGUAGCAUAUACGCGUGGGAGCAUGAUCUUGCGUUCAUCCGCAACGGUACACGCAGUGUGUAUAGAAAAAAAGUUUCCAAUUUAUUUGUAUAAAUAGAACGAUGUACAAAAAUGUCACAUAAAUGAGUAAAUAGUA
Megalopta genalis is the source of this 2318-nucleotide long non-coding RNA. RefSeq lists it as uncharacterized. Lineage: Eukaryota; Metazoa; Arthropoda; Insecta; Hymenoptera; Halictidae. The record is from RefSeq and is a predicted model, not a curated record.